RNAcentral lists this ribosomal RNA (253 nucleotides) under uncultured bacterium. RNAcentral describes it as "partial 16S ribosomal RNA". It matches the Rfam family "Bacterial small subunit ribosomal RNA", at positions 524 to 776 of the family's 1533-position model. The record is from RNAcentral.
UACGUAGGGUGCGAGCGUUAAUCGGAAUUACUGGGCGUAAAGCGUGCGCAGGCGGUUCGCCAAGUCAGGUGUGAAAUCCCCGGGCUCAACCUGGGAACUGCACUUGUGACUGCACAGCUGGAGUGCGGCAGAGGGGGAUGGAAUUCCGCGUGUAGCAGUGAAAUGCGUAGAUAUCGGAAGGAACAUCAGUGGCGAAAGCGACUUCCUGGACCAAUACUGACGCUCAUGUGCGAAAGCGUGGGGAGCAAACAGG